CCUACGGGUGACAGCAGAGAGGAAUAUUGGUCAAUGGCCGAGAGGCUGAACCAGCCAAGUCGCGUGAGGGAAGACGGCCCUACGGGUUGUAAACCUCUUUUGUCGGGGAGCAAAGAGAGUCACGUGUGACUCAUGGAGAGUACCCGAAGAAAAAGCAUCGGCUAACUCCGGGCCAGCAGCCGCGGUAAUACGGAGGAUGCGAGCGGUAGCCGGAUUGAUUGGGUUGAAAGGGUGCGCAGGCGGAGGUGCAAGUCAGCGGUCAAAUUGCGGGGCUCAACCCCGUACUGCCGUUGAAACUGCAUCCCUUGAGUGCGCGAGAAGUAUGCGGAAUGCGUGGUGUAGCGGUGAAAUGCAUAGAUAUCACGCAGAACUCCGAUUGCGAAGGCAGCAUACCGGCGCGCAACUGACGCUCAUGCACGAAAGCGUGGGUAUCGAACAGGAUUAGAUACCCUGGUAGUC
Molecule: ribosomal RNA, 459 nt
Filed under: uncultured bacterium
Lineage: Bacteria
Description: partial 16S ribosomal RNA
Rfam family: Bacterial small subunit ribosomal RNA
Source: RNAcentral